GAGUUUGAUCAUGGCUCAGAUUGAACGCUGGCGGCAGGCCUAACACAUGCAAGUCGAGCGGUAGAGAGAAGCUUGCUUCUCUUGAGAGCGGCGGACGGGUGAGUAAUGCCUAGGAAUCUGCCUGGUAGUGGGGGAUAACGCUCGGAAACGGACGCUAAUACCGCAUACGUCCUACGGGAGAAAGCAGGGGACCUUCGGGCCUUGCGCUAUCAGAUGAGCCUAGGUCGGAUUAGCUAGUUGGUGAGGUAAUGGCUCACCAAGGCGACGAUCCGUAACUGGUCUGAGAGGAUGAUCAGUCACACUGGAACUGAGACACGGUCCAGACUCCUACGGGAGGCAGCAGUGGGGAAUAUUGGACAAUGGGCGAAAGCCUGAUCCAGCCAUGCCGCGUGUGUGAAGAAGGUCUUCGGAUUGUAAAGCACUUUAAGUUGGGAGGAAGGGCAGUAAAUUAAUAACUUUGCUGUUUUGACGUUACCGACAGAAUAAGACACCGGCUAACUCUGUGCCA
Molecule: ribosomal RNA, 508 nt
Filed under: uncultured bacterium
Lineage: Bacteria
Description: bacterial SSU rRNA
Rfam family: Bacterial small subunit ribosomal RNA
Source: RNAcentral